GUGACGAUGCGACGCCGCGUGAGCGAAGAAGGCCCUAGGGUUGUAAAGCUCUGUCAGGGGUUAAGAAAUGUAGAUAGGUUAAUACCCUGUUUAUUUGACAAAAGCCCCAAAGGAAGCCACGGCUAACUCUGUGCCAGCAGCCGCGGUAAUACAGAGGUGGCAAGCGUUGUUCGGUAUUAUUGGGCGUAAAGAGCACGUAGGUGGUUUUGUAAGUCAGAUGUGAAAGCCUUCUGUUCAAAGGAAGAACGGCAUCUGAAACUGCAAAUCUUGAGUGUAGGAGGGGAGAGUGGAACUUCUGGUGGAGCGGUGAAAUGCGUAGAUAUCAGAAGGAACGUCGGCGGCGAAAGCGACUCUCUGGCCUAUUACUGACACUGAGUGUGCGAAAGUUAGGGGAGCAAACGGGAUUAGAUACCCCGGUAGUCCUAACCGUAAACGAUGGGCACUAAGUAGAGGGGUUUUU
RNAcentral lists this ribosomal RNA (460 nucleotides) under uncultured bacterium. RNAcentral's name for it is "bacterial SSU rRNA". It matches the Rfam family "Bacterial small subunit ribosomal RNA", at positions 383 to 833 of the family's 1533-position model. The record is from RNAcentral.